This 767-nucleotide long non-coding RNA is filed under the name Homo sapiens (human). RNAcentral describes it as "HSALNT0247577". Lineage: Eukaryota; Metazoa; Chordata; Mammalia; Primates; Hominidae. The record is from RNAcentral.
CACAUGUGGAUUUUCAAAUUUCUUUUUUUGUUUGUUUUCGUUUUUGUUUUUUGAGACGGAGUCUUGCUCUGUUGCCUAGGCUGGAGUGCAGUGGCAUGACCUCGGCUAACUGCAAGCUCCGCCUCCUGGGAUCAAGCGAUUAUCCUGCCUCAGCCGCCUGAGUAGCUGGGAUUACAGGUGCCCGUAACUGCACCCGGCUAAUUUUUGUGUUUUUAGUAGAGAUGGGGUUUCGCCAUGUUGGCCAGGCUGGUCUCAAACUCCUGACCUUAGGUGAUCCACCCUCCUCUGCCUCCCAAAGUGCUAGGAUUACCGGCAUGAGCCAUCGUGCCUGGCCUCAAAUUUCAGUUCAUUAAGUGCAAAGAAAACUUGAGCUCAGUUUCUCAGCCUCAAUAUUUCACAUGCUGAACAGUCACAAGUGUCUAGUAGCUAUGGAAGUGGACAGCAAAGAGUAUGGAAGGUUCCCGUCACUGCAGAACAUUCCCAUGGACAACACUGCCCUGGAAGGUAUCACACGUCCUGCAGCUGACGAUUGUUAGCCCAGGAGUUCUGCUAGCUCAGUCUGAAUGGAAAGGAGCCCUGUCUUUUUCUGACUCUGUCACCUGUUGCGGAUUGGGGUUUGAAAAGGGAGAGAACAUGCUAAGACAUCCAGCGCACACCUGACAUCAGGCUCCUCUGCGCACCAACAUGCUGAGCCAAGUGGAAGCUACAAGCAGAUCUUUUAAAGCAGAAAUGAGCCAUUGAAAGAGCUUCAGUGUUGGUAAGCAUAA